Molecule: ribosomal RNA, 207 nt
Filed under: uncultured bacterium
Lineage: Bacteria
Description: partial 16S ribosomal RNA
Rfam family: Bacterial small subunit ribosomal RNA
Source: RNAcentral
CGUGUAGGCGGCCAGGUAGGUCUGGUGUGAAAACUCGAGGCUUAACCUCGAGAUGUCAUCGGAAACCAUUUGGCUAGAGUCCGGAAGAGGAAAGUGGAAUUCCUGGUGUAGCGGUGAAAUGCGCAGAUAUCAGGAAGAACACCAAUGGCGAAAGCAGCUUUCUGGGACGGUACUGACGCUGAGACGCGAAAGCGUGGGGAGCGAACA